GGAUGACACUUUUCGGAGCGUAAACUCCUUUUCUUAGGGAAGAAUUCUGACGGUACCUAAGGAAUAAGCACCGGCUAACUCCGUGCCAGCAGCCGCGGUAAUACGGAGGGUGCAAACGUUACUCGGAAUCACUGGGCGUAAAGGGCGCGUAGGCGGAUUAUCAAGUCUCUUGUGAAAUCUAAUGGCUUAACCAUUAAACUGCUUGGGAAACUGAUAAUCUAGAGUGGGGGAGAGGCAGAUGGAAUUGGCGGUGUAGGGGUAAAAUCCGUAGAUAUCACCAAGAAUACCCAUUGCGAAGGCGAUCUGCUGGAACUUAACUGACGCUAAGGCGCGAAAGCGUGGGGAGCAAACAGGAUUAGAUACCCUGGUAGUCCACGCCCUAAACGAUGUACACUAGUUGUUGGGGUGCUAGUCAUCUCAGUAAUGCAGCUAACGCAUUAAGUGUACCGCCUGGGGAGUACGGUCGCAAGAUUAAAACUCAAAGGAAUAGACGGGGACCCGCACAAGCGGUGGAGCAUGUGGUUUAAUUCGAAGAUACGCGAAGAACCUUACCUAGGCUUGAUAUCCAACAAAUUCUGUAGAGAUACGGAAGUGCUAGCUUGCUAGAAUGUUGAGACAGGUGCUGCACGGCUGUCGUCAGCUCGUGUCGUGAGAUGUUGGGUUAAGUCCCACAACGAGCGCAACCCACGUAUUUAGUUGCUAACAGUUAGGCUGAGCACUCUAAAUAGACUGCCUUCGUAAGGAGGAGGAAGGUGUGGACGACGUCAAGUCAUCAUGGCCCUUAUGCCUAGGGCGACACACGUGCUACAAUG
Molecule: ribosomal RNA, 812 nt
Filed under: uncultured bacterium
Lineage: Bacteria
Description: bacterial SSU rRNA
Rfam family: Bacterial small subunit ribosomal RNA
Source: RNAcentral